Molecule: long non-coding RNA, 2136 nt
Organism: Lolium perenne
Lineage: Eukaryota; Viridiplantae; Streptophyta; Magnoliopsida; Poales; Poaceae
Source: RefSeq, a predicted model, not a curated record
CAAAGAAAAAUAAAAUUCGGCCUCUUCCGCGGUGAGUUCGCCACAUCGAAGAAUACCGCUGCCGCGCCCCAUCCACCUUCCGCCGCCUCCCAAGUCCCGACCACCUUCAUUGUCAUCUGCCCACAGGUCUCCUCCACGCCGCCGUAUGUGCCUCCUCCGCGGUGCCACCCCAGUCGGAGGUAGCAGAGGCAGAGACUUACCUCAUGCCGCCACCUCUAUGAAGGGAGGACAGGGGGAUCUAAAUCACCUCAUGGGUGAGCAGCAGCCAGGUCGAUUCUGCCUAAAUUUCUAGCCAGAGCCAGGUUUCUAGCCCCCGUACCAGUAGUUUAUUAGAUCAGUAAAUCCUCACGCUGCACAAGGCACUCAUGUUCAACGACCAGAUAAACCAUCCUUAUGUUCGCUGGAGAAGGAAAAGUAAUAUACUUGGGAAGGAGAUGAUUGAUUGGCUAGCAGUGAUGAUUGAGAAGAAGUGGUGGUCUAUCACCUUCAAGUCCAAUUUUUCUCGCUCGAUCUGCUACAUGGCUACGUCUGCGAGGGAGUCGAGAGAGGGGUUCAUCGGCCAUGUCAGCGAAGAGCUCUGGAGUGAGUUGAUUUUGCUAUGGGUCCGUGUCAUGUGAUCUUCUUUGCGCACGUCAGCCUCUAGGAUGGGCUGCCAUGAGAAAAUCCUCCCAGACCUUACAAUGGAGUAAUCCUUACAUUUUCCUCGCAAUCAUUUCAUUUUUAUUGUCUCAAACUCUCAAUACACUAGGCUGUCUACGCCUCUACGGGGCGUGCAAGAAUGAGUGCCGGAGGCGGCUGUUGCGGUUCUACAAAGCGCACAUGUAUCGGAGAGCAUGAAUGCGUACCUUUGAAUUGGAGAUGGCAAACACGGUCGUAUUAAAUUUCUUAGCAUGUGAUGUUGUCUUUGGUACAGGUCUGAUUAUAUUUAGUUUUUUGUAAAUGGCAAACUCAGAUUAUGCAAGUUGAUUAUAUGAGUUAGAUGAUGUUAGUGGUUAACUUAACACUGCAGAGUUAUCCCUGGUUAUCCUAUAAAGACUCCAUGCAACUGAUAUCUGGAGAUUUUUAUUUAGUAGUGCUCAUUCCAGAGAUUGGUAGAUUGUUCUUUUAUACACUGAGCAAUCAUGUUUCCCAUUACAAGUGUGAUCCACUGCAGAUUUAAGUCUCGAUGAGUGUAUAUAUUGUAUGUUUAAUCUGCGAUUAUUCCUUUUAAAAUCAUAAUUUACAGUCUGGUUUCUAUUGUCAACUGACUAGGUAGAACAUCCUAAGAAAUUUCACAUUUUCAUGGAAUUGCUAAUGACAAGGAUAAGCUUGGAUUACACCUGCAUGUUAUAGGUAAUUAUGUCAUGUGUUUUUGUUUUCAGUUCCCCUUCCAUGUGCACUACCUGAGAAAUUAAAAUCCGCCCAGCCUCCGCUAUUAGCGGAUUGGAGAGCUUUGUUGUUGCCUAAAUUUUGCCUGCAGUACGUACUAUUCGGUUUUAACUAACAUUUGAAAUCAUUAUUUGCUUCAUAUUCUACUAGCUUUCUGAAGACAAUAACGAAUGCUGAAGAAAAGUUGGCUCUUAGAUUACGUGGAAGAAUACCACCAGAGAAACAGCACUCGGUUUCGUUAACUUUCUCGAUUACUACUGCAUUUCUUAGACUAACGAUUUCACCAACUGAUUUCAUUUAUUUGGACACAUCUUCAUGUUUUUUUUUUAUCUUUGAUAGUGUGAGGGCAGAGACUCGUGACAGAUGGUGAUGGCACGUGCAUUGUAGUGAAGAGUAGAAGAGAUGAGGGGAGCGAGUAGACGUGAGGCGGCAGACAAGUAUGCAACGGAAGGAGAAUGAGGAGGCGAGGAGAAAACCGGUGCUACUGUUGACAUAUGAGGGGGGGUACUCCAUGCGUGUCUUCGAGUCUACUACUUCUUGUCUUUCAUGCAUGUCUUCUACUCAAGUGCCUCAUGUGCAUAAUUUGAGGCUUGAUUAUGUAUAUAUUGAUUCAGGUUUCGGACUUAUAGUAUCAUUCAGGUCUAAGGUUUUUAUGUAAUAGUUAUGUCUUAUUUCUCUACUUAAGUUAGUCAUCUCAACUUCAACUUUGAGAGUAUUGGAUAUGCAGUGAACACAAAGUAUCUCACCUGAUUUUAUCUGUGCCAUUGA